RNAcentral lists this ribosomal RNA (586 nucleotides) under Salmonella enterica subsp. enterica serovar Muenchen. RNAcentral describes it as "partial 23S ribosomal RNA". It matches the Rfam family "Bacterial large subunit ribosomal RNA", at positions 2261 to 2841 of the family's 2925-position model. RNAcentral also lists the same sequence under 5 other names. Lineage: Bacteria; Pseudomonadati; Pseudomonadota; Gammaproteobacteria; Enterobacterales; Enterobacteriaceae. The record is from RNAcentral.
GUGGGUAGUUUGACUGGGGCGGUCUCCUCCUAAAGAGUAACGGAGGAGCACGAAGGUUGGCUAAUCCUGGUCGGACAUCAGGAGGUUAGUGCAAUGGCAUAAGCCAGCUUGACUGCGAGCGUGACGGCGCGAGCAGGUGCGAAAGCAGGUCAUAGUGAUCCGGUGGUUCUGAAUGGAAGGGCCAUCGCUCAACGGAUAAAAGGUACUCCGGGGAUAACAGGCUGAUACCGCCCAAGAGUUCAUAUCGACGGCGGUGUUUGGCACCUCGAUGUCGGCUCAUCACAUCCUGGGGCUGAAGUAGGUCCCAAGGGUAUGGCUGUUCGCCAUUUAAAGUGGUACGCGAGCUGGGUUUAGAACGUCGUGAGACAGUUCGGUCCCUAUCUGCCGUGGGCGCUGGAGAACUGAGGGGGGCUGCUCCUAGUACGAGAGGACCGGAGUGGACGCAUCACUGGUGUUCGGGUUGUCAUGCCAAUGGCACUGCCCGGUAGCUAAAUGCGGAAGAGAUAAGUGCUGAAAGCAUCUAAGCACGAAACUUGCCCCGAGAUGAGUUCUCCCUGAGACUUUAGGUCUCCUGAAGGAACGUUGA